Unclassified non-coding RNA from Callithrix jacchus (white-tufted-ear marmoset), 117 nucleotides. It matches the Rfam family "Metazoan signal recognition particle RNA". From Rfam's summary of the family: The signal recognition particle (SRP) is a universally conserved ribonucleoprotein. It is involved in the co-translational targeting of proteins to membranes. Lineage: Eukaryota; Metazoa; Chordata; Mammalia; Primates; Cebidae. The record is from Ensembl.
GCCGGGCGUGGUGGCUCACGCCUGUAAUCCCAGCACUUUGGGAGGCCGAGGUGGGUGGAUCACCUGAGGUCAGGAGUUCGAGACCAGCCUGACCAACAUGGAGAAACCCCAUCUUUU